RNAcentral lists this ribosomal RNA (500 nucleotides) under uncultured beta proteobacterium. Its description in RNAcentral is "bacterial SSU rRNA". It matches the Rfam family "Bacterial small subunit ribosomal RNA", at positions 396 to 889 of the family's 1533-position model. Lineage: Bacteria; Pseudomonadati; Pseudomonadota; Betaproteobacteria. The record is from RNAcentral.
GCCGCGUGCAGGAUGAAGGCCUUCGGGUUGUAAACUGCUUUUGUACGGAACGAAAAGACUCUGGUUAAUACCUGGGGUCCAUGACGGUACCGUAAGAAUAAGCACCGGCUAACUACGUGCCAGCAGCCGCGGUAAUACGUAGGGUGCAAGCGUUAAUCGGAAUUACUGGGCGUAAAGCGUGCGCAGGCGGUCAUAUAAGACAGAUGUGAAAUCCCCGGGCUCAACCUGGGAACUGCAUUUGUGACUGUAUAGCUAGAGUACGGCAGAGGGGGAUGGAAUUCCGCGUGUAGCAGUGAAAUGCGUAGAUAUGCGGAGGAACACCGAUGGCGAAGGCAAUCCCCUGGGCCUGUACUGACGCUCAUGCACGAAAGCGUGGGGAGCAAACAGGAUUAAAUACCCUGGUAGUCCACGCCCUAAACGAUGUCAACUGGUUGUUGGGUCUUCACUGACUCAGUAACGAAGCUAACGCGUGAAGUUGACCGCCUGGGGAGUACGGCCAC